Molecule: ribosomal RNA, 253 nt
Filed under: uncultured bacterium
Lineage: Bacteria
Also listed under: 1 other name
Description: partial 16S ribosomal RNA
Rfam family: Bacterial small subunit ribosomal RNA
Source: RNAcentral
UACGUAGGUGGCAAGCGUUAUCCGGAAUUAUUGGGCGUAAAGCGCGCGCAGGUGGUUUCUUAAGUCUGAUGUGAAAGCCCACGGCUCAACCGUGGAGGGUCAUUGGAAACUGGGAGACUUGAGUGCAGAAGAGGAAAGUGGAAUUCCAUGUGUAGCGGUGAAAUGCGUAGAGAUAUGGAGGAACACCAGUGGCGAAGGCGACUUUCUGGUCUGCAACUGACACUGAGGCGCGAAAGCGUGGGGAGCAAACAGG